CUUAUAUAAACAUAGGAAUGAGAUUAUUUAUGCUCAUCGAGCAUGAGGAAAGAAAAGAAAGUACCACUAUCCAUCCAUUCUGGCCAUAAAAAAUGCUCUGUCUCUGAUUCAUGUCACCCCUUUAAUAUCAAGGAAUUGUGUAAUAAUCUUCAACACAAGUCUAUGAUUGAUUUCUUAUACCAAUCAGCCUGUCAACUUCAGCAAGAGACCAUACAAGUGGAAAAGUAAGACAGUAAGUUGGAUUAAUCAAGCAGAGAAAGGAGUUGAAAGCCAUAGCUGGGUCUGCAAACUGAAGCCUUCUCUAAAUUCUCAGAAAUUCUGGAAGAAAAUGUUGGAAAUUCCUCAGGAAAUGGAAAGACUAACCAAUAUAAUUAGCCAAUUAACAAAAAGAAAAGAAAAGAAAAGAAAAGAAAAAGAAGCCACGUGUUUUUAUUUGGAGAUGAGAGCAUCCAGUUUCACAUCACUACUGAACACAUGUUUGCUGCAGUUUACUAGAGGUCCACUUCAGACCCUCUUUGCCUGGGUAUCACCAGUGGAGGCUGCAGAACAGCCAAGAUUGCUGCCUGCUUCUUCCUCUGGAAGCUUCGUCCCAGAGGGACACCAGGCUGAUGCCAGCUGGAGCUCUCCUGUAUGAGGUGUCUGUCAGUCCCUGCUGGGAGGUCUCUCCCAGUCAGGAGGCUUGGGGGAUCAGGGACCCACUUGAGGAGGCAGUCUGUCCCUUAGCAGAGCUUGAGCACUAUGCUGGGAGAAUACUCCUUGUCAGGAUCAGCUGCUCUCUUCAGAGCCAGCAGGCAGGAAAGUUUAAGUCUGCUGAAGCUGUCCCCACAGCCGCCCCUUCCCCCAGGUGCUCUGUCCCAGGGAGAUGGGAGUUUUAUCUAUAAGCCCCUGACUGGCAUUUCUUUCAGAGAUGCCCUGCUGAGUGACGAGGAAUCCAGAGAGGCAGUCCGGCCACAGCCACUUUGCCACGCUGUGUUGAGUUCUGCCCAGUCCAAACUUCCAGGCCCCCUUAGCACUAUCAGGGGAAAACCACCUACUCAAGCCUCAGUAAUGGUGGACGCCCCUCCUCCUACCAAGCUCUAUCAUUCCAGGUUGACUUCAGACUGCUGAGCUGGCAGUGAGAAUUUCAAGCCAGUGGUUCUUAUCUUGCUGGGCACUGUGGGAGUGGGACCUGCUCGCUGAGUGAGACCACUUGGCUCCCUGGCUUCAGCCCCCUUUCCAGGGGAGUGAACGGUUCUGCCCCACUGGGGUUCCAGGAGCCACUGGGGUACAAGAAAAAAAAAAAAAAACUUCUGCAGCUAACUCAGCGUCUGCCCAAAUAACCGCCCAGUUUUGUGCUUGAAACCCAGAACCCUGGUGGUGUAGGCACACUAGGGAAUCUCCUGACCUGUGGAUUGCAAAAACCCUGGGAAAAGCGUAGUACCCAGGCCAGAUAGCACAGUCCCUCACAGCUUCCCUUUGGGUGGAGGAGGGAGGUCCCUGGCUCCUUACACUUUCCGGUGAGGUGACGCCCCACUUUGCUUCUGUUUGCCCUCUGUGGGCUGCACCCACUGCCUAACCAGUCCCAAUGAGAUGAACUGGGUACCUCAGAUAGAAAUGCAGAAAUCACCUGCCUUCUGCAUUGGUCUUGCUGGGAGCUGCAGACUGGAGCCAUCUUGCCAGAUUGAGUAAUUUCUUUCAACUUAGCUUUCUAAUCAAUUGUUAAAACAUGCAUAAUUAUUUAAAUAUUGGCAUAUGUAAAUUUGGAAGUACGGCAGUAUGGAAUAAACUAUUUUAUCCAACAUUUGAGGGAUAAUGCAUGUAAGACCAGGUGUAAUUCUCAUUUAAUUAAUAUCAGGCUCAUCAGUCUAUGCAGUUCCAUUUUCAAUAUUGACAUGUAUAAACAACAGAUGCAAAGCCUAUACACAUUCAAUAAAUUUUUUAUGACAUUAUUAUGCUCAUUAUGGAAGAGUUGUGUCUGUCUACAUAAACACUUG
RNAcentral lists this long non-coding RNA (1973 nucleotides) under Homo sapiens (human). Its description in RNAcentral is "HSALNT0376185". The record is from RNAcentral. Lineage: Eukaryota; Metazoa; Chordata; Mammalia; Primates; Hominidae.